Non-coding RNA from Paramuricea clavata, 961 nucleotides. The record is from the annotation of a GenBank genome assembly. Lineage: Eukaryota; Metazoa; Cnidaria; Anthozoa; Malacalcyonacea; Plexauridae.
UAGCUUUUGUAGUUUUUGUGGCUAGCCCGUUUGCGGGCUAGCCACUAUCACAUACACAUACACAAACGCGAUGAGCGAUGAUGAUGAUGGUGUCCAGUCCGGAUUUUCGUAAAGUAUCGGGAGUAAUCGGAAGCGCCCGUAUUUUUCUGCCGACAUUUCACAUUUGCAUUUCGAGGCAAUACUAGUGAUGUUGUUACGACGCAGUACUAGUGAGGUUGUUAAACCAGAAAAUUAAAAUAAAGUUUAUCUUCAUGGCUUCAACCUAUGGUGUCGAAACCGAUCAGAAAUUGCGCGUACUUGCCGUGUAAAUAUGGGUUUUGAUUUGCACUUUUGACUGAUUUGCGGGCCAUUUGCCAUCUUGAAUUGUCUUCUUGUUGAGAUUUCAUAUCUCAAUUGCAUUCAAAAUGUUUGGUAUUUUAAAGAAGGGGUAUUGUGUGGAGGAGGUUUAUAAUGCAGCGAAUAAAACCAGCAUUGGAUAAUUAUGGUAAAAGACCAGAAACUGUGCAUCGAACUCGUUUAUUUAAAGGCUUUAAGUAUACCUUUUCUUCAGACAUUGACGGCGUCUCAAAUGUCUACAUAUUUGUAAUAAACCUAUAAAGGAUUAUUGCGUCUGUCUGUCUUAGGAGUUAUAUAGUCGAAUAAUUCAGCAUGAUUUGUCUCACGUUCUCUUAUAAGUUGACUAAUGUUGCAUUAAAAGUGGUAAAAGUUGGUGUGCUAACCAAGAUUUCAGUGUAUUUGUUUGCUAAUAUUGCUAGGCCUAUAUCUCAAACGCUAUUUGCCUAUUAAAAUAUCAUAUGACACGCAAUUUUAAUUCCACGGCAAAACUGCUGUUGCGCAAAUAACAAACGCGAGAUUAAAUAUAUAUGGCAGUAUUACAGUUUAGUAAUAUUGCAUUAAAAGUGGUAAAAGUUGGUGUGCUAACCAAGAUUUCAGUGUAUUUGUUUGCUAAUGUUGCUAUAUC